UACAGAGGUGGCAAGCGUUGUUCGGAAUUACUGGGCGUAAAGGGCGAGUAGGCGGCCUUCUAAGUCAGACGUGAAAUCCCCCGGCUUAACCUGGGAACUGCGUCUGAUACUGGGAGGCUCGAGUAUGGGAGAGGGAUGUAGAAUUCCAGGUGUAGCGGUGAAAUGCGUAGAUAUCUGGAGGAAUACCGGUGGCGAAGGCGGCAUCCUGGACCAUUACUGACGCUGAGGAGCGAAAGUGUGGGGAGCGAACAGG
RNAcentral lists this ribosomal RNA (253 nucleotides) under uncultured bacterium. RNAcentral describes it as "partial 16S ribosomal RNA". It matches the Rfam family "Bacterial small subunit ribosomal RNA", at positions 524 to 776 of the family's 1533-position model. The record is from RNAcentral.